UGGUUAAUACGCUAUACAUAGACUGUGUUUUUCCAAUGGGUAAUUUUUAUAGAACCCCCCUUGAUCUAGUGUUAUACAAUUCUGUUUGUCUUUAGUAAGGUUCUAAGGGAACUCUAGUGAAGAAAGUUGUCAUAGAAUAAUAAGGACAAGAAGAAUGGCCACCCCAUUAUCAACCGUUACCAACAAUACCUACUACAUGUAUAAUAUACAUGGUGAUUGUGAAGCUGUACAGAUUGGAACAUCAAACACAAUAAAUGAAACUAGUAACCAGACCGACCUGGAUGAUCGCACAUCCGAGAUGGAAGAUUUCCGGUUUAAAUUUAAUCGCUGAAAAUGGCUGAAAAAUUUGAAAGAAAAGAUGAAGAAAUAGCUGAAUUAAAAGACAGGGUGGCUGACCUGGAAGCAUUUUAGAAGAAAGUAGAACAAUCAGAAGUUAAGAAAAAUACCAACACUAACACUAGGCGUUUUAAGAGAGAUACGAGCGAUGACAUUAUUUUACGGUUACUUGACGACGGAGAUGAAGAUAUGGAUACUAUAACUGUCAGUAAGAACGUCCGUUUAAAUGAUUUAAUAAAGUUGAUAGAAGUGAAGAAGGAUGUAAAGAUUAGCAGGAUUGAUAUAUGGGGAUAUAGAGAUGCAUAUUUUAGUUUGUUUGAUCUAUGGGGAUCUAGGCCUAGGGGUAUGACAUGGAUCUACAGCAGUGAUAUCAACAAGAAGGACUGUAGGCUGGAAUGUGUUGUAGUCCAGGACAUGGUGAUGUACUGGUGAUAGUAACAUAUAGCGAUUAUAGUGAUAGGAUGGUUUGAUGGGUUCAACACUUCUUCUUUUGUUUUAUAAUGGUUGACCUGGGUUGGCCGAGAGGAUGGGGAACGAGGUUAGAUAUUAUUGUCUUUUUGUGGUGGUGUGAUUGUUGUGUUUAGUGAUGAGUGGUGGUGUGUUUUAGGAGUGAUUGUGUAAGUGAUGAGUGGUGGUGUGGUAGGAGUGAUUGUUGUGUUUAGUGAUGAGUGGUGGUGUGUUUUAGGAGUGAUUGUGUAAGUGAUGAGUGGUGGUGUGGUAGGAGUGAUUGUUGUGUUUAGUGAUGAGUGGUGGUGUGUUUUAGGAGUGAUUGUGUAAGUGAUGAGUGGUGGUGUGGUAGGAGUGAUUGUUGUGUUUAGUGAUGAGUGGUGGUGUGUUUUAGGAGUGAUUGUGUAAGUGAUGAGUGGUGGUGUGGUAGGAGUGAUUGUUGUGUUUAGUGAUGAGUGGUGGUGUG
Molecule: long non-coding RNA, 1249 nt
Organism: Patella vulgata (common limpet)
Lineage: Eukaryota; Metazoa; Mollusca; Gastropoda; Patellidae
Exons: 3
Source: RefSeq, a predicted model, not a curated record